Molecule: ribosomal RNA, 220 nt
Filed under: uncultured bacterium
Lineage: Bacteria
Description: partial 16S ribosomal RNA
Rfam family: Bacterial small subunit ribosomal RNA
Source: RNAcentral
GCAAGUCGAGCGCGCCCUUCGGAGUGAGCGGCGGACGGGUUAGUAACGCGUGGGAACGUGCCCUUCUCUAAGGAAUAGCCACUGGAAACGGUGAGUAAUACCUUAUACGUCCUUCGGGGGAAAGAUUUAUCGGAGAAGGAUCAGCCCGCGUUAGAUUAGAUAGUUGGUGGGGUAAUGGCCUACCAAGCCUACGAUCUAUAGCUGGUUUGAGAGGAUGAUC